This 85-nucleotide transfer RNA is filed under the name Actinomycetota bacterium. RNAcentral describes it as "Actinobacteria bacterium (sediment metagenome) tRNA-Leu". It matches the Rfam family "tRNA". From Rfam's summary of the family: Transfer RNA (tRNA) molecules are approximately 80 nucleotides in length. Lineage: Bacteria; Bacillati; Actinomycetota. The record is from RNAcentral.
GCCCGGGUGGUGGAACCGGUAGACACAAGGGACUUAAAAUCCCUCGGGUAAUCCCGUGCGGGUUCGACUCCCGCCCCGGGCACCA